CAAAGGAGGAAGAAGCAGAGGUGAGGGGGGGAUUAGCACUAGAUUUAAAAUCAGAAGGUUUUUUUUGUAAAAUUUGAAAUGAACUAAGCUCUGGACAACUUUUCCCGGACGGAGGGAGUAUAAACAAAUGAAAAUAAAUAAAUUCAGGAACUCCUGUGGCUGUAGGAAUGGAUGUCCUCACCCGCCUCCACCGGCCGCUCGGCGAAGAGUGGCAGGAAGACGACAUCCCCAAGCCCUCUGCUCUCUGUCCCCUCUCCAGGUCAAACACACCCCUCCGAGAACCCUCGACCGCUGCAGCCGUUUAAAUGGUCCGCGUCGAUCUGACAUGUUCUGCUUUUUUUGCCUGAUUCAGCGGGUCUACGGCUUCUUGGUUGCUGGACUCGCCCCCAUGAUGCUGGCGCGUUGCUGUAACUUCCGCCCAUGAUCUGUCGCCCGUGCAGUAUUUUGCUGUAGUUGACUGCAGGUGAAGAAUGGGCCAUGUUGGCCGUGCUGACCCUAUUUUCAGCAGUUGGAUCCUAUAUACCUAACCGAGGGAUCAAGAACCAUCGUUGUGAGUUAUGCUUUGUGUUACUUCAGCAAUGGCUGAUGCCAUUCCUUCCAAGUAUCAAAUAUGUGUUAUUCAGACAUUUAGGCUUACCAAAUCUAAGUCUAAAGAAACGAGUCGCGGGCGUAAAUGCCUAUUUCUUCAGCAUUAAGAACUUUAGGUUAGUCAACACAGUGAUUUCUAUGUUGGGUUUGCUCUUCACGCUAGGCUUGAACGUCACAUUUAACCUAUCUGUGCUAGUGAACUGAUGCGUUGUCUUCUCUUAGUCGGAGUUGAUGUUUCAAAUGCCAUGCUUAUGCGAUAUUUGUUCUGAACAUUAUUAAUCUUCUACAUUCGCAUUAGCCAUAGUCAAACUUUCAAGUGUGAAUCAUAUGAUCCUGUCAAAUGCCAGUUUG
This 939-nucleotide long non-coding RNA is filed under the name Triticum aestivum (bread wheat). RNAcentral's name for it is "long non-coding RNA (TAES_LNC002038)". The record is from RNAcentral. Lineage: Eukaryota; Viridiplantae; Streptophyta; Magnoliopsida; Poales; Poaceae.